UUCUCUGCUGCAAAGUUAUUGUUUUUCACUUUUCAGAUUCUAUUAGCAGUGAGUACUAAGUCCAGCCCACAUUCAAACGGAAUAGAAUUAAGCUCUACCUCCUGGAGGAGGGAGAACUACAUUUACCACUUAAAAUUCCACAGGGAAUAUUUGUCCUUUCUUUCCCAUUUGUUUUCUUGACCAUUUACAUCAGUAUGGAUUCAUGGAAGUUUGUUUUAUUCUUUAGGUUAUAAUCCAGUACUGUCACUAUUUAUUUUGCUACACAGAUUCUUACAACUUUGGUCGCUGGGAGCUUUCUCAGGUUAAUUAUUUUGUCCUUUUCACAUUUCCAUUUUGUUUAAGACUUUUUCUGCUUUUUGUCACUACCACCUGCUCCAGGCUUAGCUUAUGUUUUUCUGCCCCCACCCUACAAUCAGCCACUUCCCAAAGAACUCAUUUCUUUUGUGGAAGAAUAGUGUUAGGAAUCAAGUUUUCAGUGCCCAAAAUGCUUUAGGUUCUUUCAGGGAAGCAGCCCUGCCCAUAAUCCCACUGUUCAAGAAGUAACCACAUGGCUUCACCUACUCAUCUUUGGCCCUGGAAGCAGCUAGAAAGUCCCACCCAUUCUCUUGCUGCCCCAGAAACACUAAGGUGGCCCACCCAUCUACCCUUGGACCCAGAAAAUAGCCAGGAAGCCCUGCACCCUUUUUCCCCAGAAGCAGUCAUGCAAACAUCCCUGAGUAGUUCAGCCUGAAGAGGUCCAGCUGAGCAGAAUUUCCUGAGUGGCCCUGUCUACAGAAGCCCCGUAAGAAGCAACCAGGUGGUCCUAGUCAUGCUUCUAUCAUCCCAAGAAGCAGCUGAGCAGCCUGUUCUCAGAAGCUCAGCCUACUGAGGUCAUGGGAAGCAGACACACAGCUCAGCUCACCUACUCUCAGUUCUAGGAAGCAGAUGGACUGACCUUCUGAGUAAGUAGUCCCACCAAAGGCCUUGUGAAGUCACCUACACAGCCCUUAGACACAGAUAGGGGCCAUCUGUGUCCACUUGUGUGUUCUAGCCCCCAUGUGGCUUUUAGACACUGACAUACACCCCAAUACUUGGCAUACUAAUGGGAUCAAGUAGGUUAUAGCACAGGAUGAUUAAUGGGUACAGGGGUGCAGUUAGACAGGACAAGUAACUUCUAAUGUUCUGCAGCACAGUAAGAUAACCAUUGCUGACAACAAUUAUUUGAAUAUUUCAAAAUAUCUAGUAAAGAGAAUUUUGAAUGUUCCUAGUACAAAAAAUGAUAUAUAUUCAUGUCAAUUACCUUGAUGUGAUCAUUACACAUUGCAUUCAUGUACACUGUACUCCAUAAAUAUAUACAAUUACCGUGUGUUUAUGAAAAAUAAAAAUAAAAAUUUAAAGUUAGUUUUCUUUCACUGAUUGGCAGCUUUUAGAGUAUAAUAUUAUUUUAUUGUGCUUAUAUUUUCAUUGUAAAGCAAUCGAGUUUCUUUUUGAAAUUAGGACAGUUUUAAAUUUUGUAAAAAUUAACAAAGAAAUAAGACCAUUCAACCUACCACUCAGCGAAGGAAUUUUCUCUUUAGCACACGGAUGACAGCCCCAGCAUGAGGAUUCCAGUAACAUGAAGCUCCUGAUGUGGUUCUGUUUUCCUGAAUUGCUCUAGUGACGGUAAAGUUAUUAAAUGUUUAUUGAUUGUUGGACCAAAUGCAUAAACAACUAUCUGUUAUUCUUGUUAAAUAAUGAGGCAAUGGUUAUUUUUAAGUGUUUGUAGUGUCUCAUGCAAUAAUCUAAAGUUUUACUAAGUGCAAAGCACAUUAAGAGAGCAAUUUGUUUAUUAAAAGCAUGGGUUUUUUUUUAAAGCAUGGACUAAAUAUAACUAUAAAAAUGAAAAUAGAAAGUUUUAUAUCAUCUGCAGAGCAGCACUGUUAGAAUGCAAUAAAGACAAAUAAUUAUCCCCCAGAGGAACACUGUUACAACCAUUGCUUAAUUAUGGUUUAUUUUUCCUUGACUCUUGUGGUAAUUAUUCACUCAUUUGUACUGAGAUGAUGACAGCUUUUUAACAGCAUGGUUGCUUUUGUUCCACACACCCCAUGCUUUCCUCUCAUUUUAGCCCUAAGACAAAUUAUUCAACUAUUUUCAGGUCCUAAGUUUAUUUUUAAUGGUGUACAUGUCUAUUUAUAUUUAUGAUUCUCUAAUUUUAAAUAAUUAGGUAUUUUCAUUUUGAUAUUUUAAAAAUAUAUUGAGUGCCAUUUAAAAUGUUAAGGAAUUCUCAGUCUUUCUACCAUACAUAAAUUUAAGUUUGAAAGUGGAGCCAGAAUAGCUUUGGGACUUGGGGUCAUAAGACUUGGGUUGGAAAGGCACAUACUAGCUAUGUGUGAACUUACACAAGUUAAUUAAUCCCUCUGGGCACUCUUCAUUUUUAAGGUACAGUCAGUGGUAAUCACUCUUCUACUUUGUUAUAAGGUUCAAAUGAAAUAAUGACUUUGCACACCAUAAAAUUCUUGUCAGAUAUCAGUCAGCCUCUGUUUUCAUUCAUUCAAAAACUUUUACCAAAUGCAUACUACCUUCCAGGCACUGUGAGAAAUGUACAGAUGUUUGACUAGAAGAUCGUGAUGGCAACAAUGUUUCUCGGGUUUAAAAAUGUACACAAUAAUUCUUAUGUCUAUGUAACAAUAUCAGAGUGUUAUAGUGGUAUUAUGCUUCCUCCAAAUAAACCUUUCUUCAGGUUUACUUUUUAUUAAUUUUGGAAACAAUAAUCUUAUUCUAAUUUUGUAAUAGAUGUAUUAUAGACUGAAUGUUAAUAUUAAAUGAUAGAGCUGAAACUCUGGGUUUGAAAAUAGGAUGCAGAUUAUAAUUUUAUCACUUCUAGACAGAAAAGUCAGAGGACAUUGGUUAGUUUUGUUUUCAAAGUGGUGGAUACUCUCAGGCUUUAUGCCUAGUGCUGACUCUGAUUGACUCUUCCUAUUUGGACUGACAGUGGUCCCAGAUGGAGUUUCAGUACAAAUGGUCAUGGGAAAGACUCCUGAGUUUUUAUUUUUCUUUUUUUUCCAAGAGUUUAUUUCAAAGAAAUUGAAACAGUGGUGAGGACUCCAAGAGCAAGAGAAAUGUGAGCUGUGAUUACAACAGGGGCAGCAAGGAACUGUAAUUACUAAAGGGGCCUCAAGAGACAAUAGGAUAAUAGACUUGAGUUCAGCGAUUCAACAAAUACUUACCUACUUACCGAACAUUCACCAUGAACAAUGCACUGAGCUAGCAAUAGGGAACACAAGAAUGGAUACAGGCCUGAUACUCCUUCCAUGGAGCUUAGAGAAGUGAAGAGUUUUGAAAAGCUCAGAGGACUCUUCUAAGUAGAGAGAAAACAAUAUCUGGGAGGGAUCCGGACAUAAGAAAGUGUAUCAUGUCUUCAAAUUAUUCCUGGAGCGAAAAGGAUACAUACUGAGGUGACAUGUCCUGUAUACCUUUUUAAUCCAUCACAAUCUUUGGCAUUAGGUUGUCCACACAGAGACAAACAUCAGACCUUUUUGGGGAAGUGGGGAUACUGGGAAUUAAAUGUAGGAGCUACCACUGAGCUACCUCCCAAGUCCUUUUUUAUUUUUUUAUUUCUAGACAGAGUCACUAAGUUGCUGAGGGUCUCGCUAAGUUGCUGAGGCUCGCUGAACUUUCAAUCCUCCUGCCCCAGCCCCUGGCAUUGCCGGAAUUAUAGGCAUGCACCACCAUGCCUGGCCACAUAUUUUUGAAUCCAUAAUAAAUGAUGAACAUCAAUGACUCUGGCACCACUGGACCAACUGAAUUUCUAGAGCUUAUCUGGCUUAGGGUGCCAAAAUCUUAGUAUCUUCAAUGAGAAAUUGAAUCUUAUUUGCUAUACAGACUGAUAUGGAAAUAUAAUGAGGUGACAUGUGGGAAGGCAAUUUUUAAAAUGUAAAUACAUCAUCAAAUAUUCAUUGUUCCUCUUUGAGACAAUUGGAGGAAUGGAAAUAACUUGGAAAAGAACCAUAUCCAGGAAGAUUCUAGAUCCAAGAGGAUCAGAAUCCUGGACAUUUUCUUAAUUUUAAUUCUUAUCUUGUCAUGGAACAGGAUGUUUUUGAAGCAAAAAUAGUUGUAUUUGUGUCAAUGUCAGAGUCUCAUAAACUCAGCUUGAGGGAAGAAGAAGAAGUACCCAGCCUAUCAGCUUGAGCAAGGGCAGAGCUGUUGUGCUUGAAGUUUGCAGGCCAAUAUGCCUGGGUUUCACACCAGAGUAGAAAGUGGGCAAUUUGGUUAAAGAAUAGCCACUUUGGAUGUUAUCCCCACUGAAUCAAGCUCAUCCUUUGAUUAUAUACAUAUAGGAAGACAUAUAUGUUAAAAGGAAACUUGUUAAAGUUUUAGUUUGAGUUAUGAGAUAAGAUAUAUAAAAACACAUUAAAAUCUACAAAUAUUUAUAAAAGUAUAAGAAAUUGCUGUCAUUGAUAAUAUUUUUAUUUUUAUAGUGGUCUGAAUCAUUAUAAUCUUAAAGGUGAAGCUUCUUUUAAAAAUGUGCUUUGGGAAUUUCAUUAAAUGGUUUUGAAUGGAAUCCAAGUCUUGAAUAUCUUAAAUGAAUUCCACGGUCUUCUGAAUAUGUUAUAGUGUUGCUUAGGAUAUUAGAUAAUGGAACUGUGACCCUACAGCUUUAGUGAAACUAAUGAUAUUAAUAAAGCCAAAUAGGCCUUUAUCUAGGAUGACAAAACGAAAUUGCACAGCAAUUUUUAUUAACAACCAUUGAGAUAUCCUUGGAAUAAUGCCACAAAGUUGGAAAAGGAAAAAUUAAUUAUUUGAGAGUGCAUUCACAUAUGGCCAUAUGUCUUUUGUUAAAGUACCUGAAGAAUGAGAAGCAGACAAAAAUAAUUUUCUCCACCUACAAGGAACCUGAAUAAAAGUAAAAGCCUUGCAUGAUGUUCUCUAUAAACUUAGAAGCCACUCUCCAUAAGGCUUCAUAUUCCAAAGACCUUGAUUAUUAUCAGUUAAUUUACUGGUUACACCAAGCAUAGCAAAUGAAUUUCAAUUCCUCUGACAAUACUAAUUGAUCCAUAGUGGUUUCUGGGGGCAUUUAUAAAAAGAGACUGUGAUGUGAAACCCAUUCCAAAGCAAAGAUCACUGAUAGGUAUGUUCCAUUAUGAGUCUACGUGGUUAGCAACCCCAGCACAGUUACAGUAAUGGCCCUGUAUUAGGAAAAAGAAAGAUGAAGUACAGGACCAGUUAGUCAUUUAUUCAUUUAUCUAUCCUUUACCUCUUCAAAAAAGACAUGGAAGAAAAUACAGGUAACAUGGUAAGACAAAGAUUUGAGGCAAAAGGAAAGUAAGAUAAAUAGUAAUGUAAGGUCACUACUAAAUGGAAGCUAUUAAACUCUAUAUACUGACCAAAGAGGGCUUAAACUUUGACUCUGAAUUUCCUAAUAAUCAUAUUAAAAAUGGAAGGUGUAAUUAUUUGGUAGAUUCAGAUGAUGUAAAAAAAUAAGGCAGGUUAUACAAGGAAAAUGAAACACAAACAUUUUGCCAUCAAAGUAUAGAAGACAUAAAUUUUAGUCCUCAGUCUGCCAUUUGGUAGCCAUCUGACUUUCUACAAUUUAUUUAACUUGAUUAUCCCAAUGUUUUCAUUUGGCAAAUGUGGAUAAUAAUGCUGUGCAAUAGUUCAGAUCUUAGUUCUCUCCCAUAUGGCAAAGGAUUAGUUCCCAGAAUGGCACUAUUGGGAACUGGUGGGCACAUUAAGAGGUGUGGGACCUAGUGGGAGAUCUGGGUCAUUAGGGGACUGUGGUAUCCAGAUCUCCUCUCUCUUUCAGUUCCCAGCCAUGAAGUGAACAGUUUUGCUCGGUCACACCAUUCCAUCAUGGUGUGCUUCUUUGCCCCAAGCAAUGGGGCCAAUUAGGGACUAAAAACCUCCAAAACUAUGAGUCAGAAAUGAACCUUUGCUUCUUAAAGUUGAUUAUCUCAAGUAUUUGUAUAGAGAUGGAAUGUUGACUGACACAUGCUCCUUUGUGAAUUGUUCUGAAGUUAAGUGAUAAAGUGGUUAUAUUCUUUAUUUUUGCUUUGAAUUACGUAGAUUCAUUGCUAUUAUUUCCUUGCCCCACUCUAGGUCCUGGCCUUGCAAAUGGUACCGGCUCUGCUCCUUUGCCCUCUGGUUUCCUGAUCCAGCCUCCCUUUACCUUUGGCUUCGUUUUUGGUUCAGCCAAAAGGACACAUCCUCUUGCUCCUGCAUCAAGGCUGAAGGUCUAAUUGUAGCAUCUCCCUUUAUGACAACUCCUGAUGAGUUGCAUUCACAAUGCCAGCUCUCGCCAAGCCCCAAGAACAUGGCUACUUCCUCUUUUUCUUUUUGGCCUAUGAGUAGGCUCCUUUAUGUUGCCAUCCCUGGGUGCCUUAGGAUUACUUGCAGGUUUCCUCAGUCCCAUUCAUACUUCUACGCAUGGUGCCUUCAUUAAAUUCUCAAGAGAACCCAAUGUGAGUGUGAAAUCUAUAUUUUGCCAGGCCUCUGACUGAUACAAUAAAUGUUUAUAGCAAAGUUGGAGUGAAGGGAGUAGUGUCCCAUUUUUGAGCUCCUGCUGUAGGCCAACACAGAGCUGGGCACUUUUAUGGCAGAUAAUCAAUGAACGCUAAUAAAUCUAAAGAAAGGAGUAUGAGGCAGAUAAAUCAGAGAAGAGCAAGUGUCACCAAAAUCUGAGACAUGGGAUUAGGAUCCUUUCCAUCAGUUUACCCAUUCUGCCAGCUCAGAAUGUAAACAUAACAAAAAGGGACAUCAGAAUUAAUCAGCUCAAUUAGCCCGAACAACAACAAUAUAAAAUGUUGUCCUAGGUCUGAAUAAAAUUUAAAGAGCAAUAGUGUAUAUAGCAAAGAGCAAGUAUGUGGUAUUUCUUUGUGUAAUUUAAUGUAACUUGGUUGUACGAUGGAGAUGAUCAGGCAUAAACAAAAAUUAAUGGAGUGACUGGUGUUCUCACAGAACUAUCCAUUUCUGGAGUGAUUUAAAAUUUUCAAAUGAUGUUCCAUCAGAAAGAAAGUAUUUCGCAUCCCGUUCACAGACAUCUAUGUGUGCAUAUGCACACGCAAUCAAGUUUAGGAAUGACUUAAAUGAAGAGAAAAAGAAACAAGAAGCCACAAAGUGUAUCAUUCCUAGUGUCUAACACAGGCACAAGUAUAUGGGUGCUAAGUUUGGAUGUUGAAUGUCUCCCAGAGGCCCAUGUGUUGGUCUCAGCCCCCAGCUUGGCAUUAUUGGGGAGUGGUGGAAUCUUUGAGAGGUGGGGCCUAUCCCUGUAGAGUUUUAGGUCAUUAGGGGCAUACAGGUGAAGGGGAUUGUGGGACAUGGCUUCUUCUGAUGUCUCCAUUCCUUGUCAUGAGGUGGAAAGGCUUUGCUCCAGUAUACACUACCCACAGGCCCAAAAGCAACAGGGCCAACCUUCAAAACUGUUAGACAAAACAAUCCCAUUAAUAAGUUAAUUACCUCAGGUAUUUGUUUCAGUAACAGAAUGCUAACAUAGUAGAUAUCCAGAAAAUUCUCUUUUGGGGCCUAUAAACUACCAAAGUCAGAUCAUUUGGUGUGCUUCGCUCAUGAAAGUAUUCUAGUUGUUAUACUGUCAGGAGAGGCCCACUCAGAGCCUUUUUAUUUCAAGUUUUUUGUAGGACAGCAGAGAUACCUUAGAUCCUUUUUGCACAAGUUGUUCUCAUAACCAAAUAUCAAAUAACCACAGUUCUGAGAAGUUUAAGAAAAAAGAUUCAUAAAAUACAAUGUUUCAUGUUUCUUUUUGCUAUAUUUUCCUGCUUUGAGUUCAACAUGUGUAAAUCAUUCUGUUACUAUAAGCUUAAUGAAUGAAGUAAAAAGUAAUAAUGAAAAAAUGUAAUAAUGAAAUAAAGUUUUAAUCACAAUUUUUUUUUGGCAUGAUCAGCUUGAUUAUAUUUGAUAUACACUCAGGGGGGUUUGUAUUUCAGAUGAAACUUUUCUUAAAACGAUUCAUGUGUCCCAGAUGUGACCUAGUUUCAUUCUGGGAAAUGAAUGCUGAGUGUGGCACAGGGAAGUCAAGCAGACAGAGCUAUUUCAGGAGCUAUUAAUGUGGUACACUUAUAGGAAAAAAUAUGUGAAUCCAGCUGGCCAGUGAAAACAUUCCUUGAGCAUAUACUAUGUACUAAGUGACAUUCCAGGAUCCAGAAAUGCAAAUAUAAAGGUCAAAUCCUGAGCUUCAGGAACUCAUGGACUAGUUGAAAAGAAAGACAACAAACUUGUCACUAUGUAAAAGAAAACAAAUGUAAAAGAUAACUUGAAUCUAAUGUAUGAAAUAUGAUAUGUCAAGAGCUUUAUAAUGUUUUGAACAACCAAUAAAAAAAUUAAAAAAAAAAAAGACAAAGCAUAAUGUGUGCAAUCACAGAAGUCUGAAAAAGGUGGAGAAACAUUUUGUAAAAUACAGCUGUUUGUUCUGUCUAAGGAGAGUUCAUGGCCAAGGCUUCACAAAAGAGAUGGAAUCAGAGAAAAUUCUAAAGUUUAAAAUUACAGUUUGGAAACUGUCUUAAAUUAAGUUAUGAUCUAUAGAUGGAAACAUGUCCAUUUGGAUAAAUGAAAAAAAAGAAAGAAAGAAAAUGGAAUAGAAAAUUCAUGGCACAGUUCUAAGCAUAAAAUAAGAACCAUUAAGUGCUUUCUCUUUUUGUCUUGUGUAUUUUUAAAUAAAGGUAAAAUUCACUUAAUGUAAUUUGCACCCUUUUAAUCAUUUUAAAGUGCAUAAUUCAGCGAUGGAUUGAUAAUGUUUUGUAUCUAUCACCACUAUUUAAUUCCAGAAUAUUUUCAACAUUCCCCAAAGAAACCUUUUUCCCAAUGAGCAGUCCCUGGCCUUUUCUCUCCACUCCCUGCCCCGCACUAGCAUACGAAAACCCACUAAUUAACCUGAUUUCUAUCUCUGCCUACUCUGAACAUUUCAAAAAAAUAUGAUCAUAUACGAUGUAGCCUUUUGUAUCCGGA
This 8913-nucleotide long non-coding RNA is filed under the name Marmota monax (woodchuck). The record is from RNAcentral. Lineage: Eukaryota; Metazoa; Chordata; Mammalia; Rodentia; Sciuridae.